AUGAUGGAAUGCAACAGAGAAGAGGCUUCCAUGGCCAGGGAAAUUGCUGUAAAGAAGUUGGAAGAUAAAGACUUCGCUGGUGCCCGAAAGAUUGCACUUAAAGCUCAGAUGCUAUUUCCAGAGCUUGAAAAUAUAUCUCAGCUGUUAAGUGUUUGCACUGUACACUGUGCAGCAGAGGCAAGGGUGAAUGGAGAGCCGGACUGGUAUGCAAUCCUUCAAGUGGAGGCAACAACAGAUCAUGCUAACAUAAGAAAGCAAUACCUCAGGCUUGCCUUUUCACUCCAUCCCGAUAAAAACUGUUUUCCUGGUGCUGAAGCUGCUUUCAAGUUGGUUGCUGAAGCUCAUACAAUAUUGUGUGAUCAAACAAAGCGAUCUCAUUAUGAUAUCAGAAGGCAGUAUGCUUCCAGAAAAGUGCCGAAGCAAGCUACACAGCAACAAAAGAAGAGUGGCACACGCAAAUGCGAUGUACCUGGGCAUGUACUGACUUUUUGGACCAUAUGUGCUCAUUGUCAGAUGCGAUAUCAGUAUCACAACCAUGUCCUAAACACUCUGAUCCGCUGUCUGAACUGCCAAAAUAAUUUCUUUGCAUACAAGUACAACUUACAAGAACAGUAUGCGCCGACUUCAUCGAGUGUACCCACUAAUUCUCAAGUUCCAACGAAGACGUUUCCAAGUCAACAAGGCCGCCGUGUGAAGCUUUCUUCUGCACAGGAAACCACAGGUGCGAAUCCAAGGAUGAAUGUGGCCCAAGGUGACGGUUACAUGAAAGGGUAUAGCAGGCCAACCAUGGGCGAGAAAGCUAGUCAGUCAAGAACGACAAGCGGGCAAAGUCAAUUUUCAGCAAUGAAUCAGGAAAAACCUGCUGUACCGACUGCAAAUGAACAUAUGGGUGGAUGGUCAAUACCAGAUCCUCCUGAUCCAAGCAUCAUUGGCAGACCAAAGUCAGGUAGAGCAGAUGCAUCUGCAGCUUCAAAUGCUAUGAAUGUCCCUGGUCCUGCAAAGCUUUCAUCUACAGGUGUUAACACAUAUGCCAAAAUAAGGAUAAAUGUGGCAGAAUGCGAUAUAAAAGGGCAUGACAAUCCUAGUGGCGAGAAGGAAGCUAACGAGUCAUAUAUUACAAAGGGGAAAGUUGAAAUUCCAGCAAAGACUCAAAGUAAAUCUUGUGUCCAAACUGUAAACAUGAACACAGGUGUUUUUGACAGAAAGAACUGUGUAGAGGAUGUAUCUACAGUGUUAAAUGCUGCGGGAUCCCCCGUUCUCCGGAGAUCAGCUAGGAGGACACAAGAUGCUGAUGGCAGUAGUAGCCUCAACUGUAAUAGCAAAAAGAAGCGAAGAAAGAAUAAUUGUCCAUCUAAUGCUGAUUUGAAUGGGAAGCAAAUAUUUGAUGAUAAUGUCACUAACGUUGACAGGCAAUCGGUUCCAUCUGAUGUGUCUGGCAAAGUAGACACCCAAGAGGAAGCUAAAACUCCAGAUAUAGGUGAUCAGGACAAUAUCAGGGCAGAAGUUACAGAUACUGUUGGUCAGAAUCAACCUUGCUAUUCUGUGAAGCUUUCUUUCCCUGACGCAGAAUUUUUCGAUUUUGAGAAGUUGAGGGAUGCUAGUCUGUUUGCAACUGGUCAGAUCUGGGCCCUUUAUGAUAACCUUGAUGGCAUGCCAAGAUAUUAUGCUAGAAUAAAAAGUUUGGAUGCCUCCAACUUUAAAGUUCAUCUCACUUGGCUGGAGCGCAUUGCAAUGAAUGAAGCAGAGGAGAAAUGGUCUGAUGAAGAACUGCCCGUUGCUUGUGGAAGCUUUAGCUUAGGAACAACAGAGAUAUCACAAGACAGACUCAUGUUUUCGCAUAUUGUUUCAUGGACAAAAGGCAAACGAAGGAAAUAUGAAGUACAUCCCAGUAAGGGUGAGGUAUGGGCUCUUUAUAAGGGAUGGAACAUGCAGUGGGGAUCAGAUGCAGAUAAUCAUAGAUCCUAUGAAUAUGAAGUCGUGGAAGUCAUGUCAGAUUUCUCAGUUAGUGCUGGCGUUACUGUUGUCCCAUUGGUCAGGAUUGAAGGCUUUGUGAGCUUAUUUGCGACAGUUAAGGAGAAAUCUGAAAUUGUGGUAGCACCAAGUGAGCUACUUCGUUUUUCUCACAGUGUUCCGUUUUAUAGGACAAAUGGGAAUGAGAAAGUUGGUGUCCCUGGAGGUUUUCUGGAACUUGACACUGCAUGUCUCCCCAUUGACCUGGAUGCAGCGUUUCCUUGUGUUUCUCUUCACUCCUGCAUGUCCCCUGGCAAGAAAGAGGGCAGCACAUCCAUUGAUUUGAGCACUGACAGUGCAAGCAGUAGAGGAAAACAUGAAUAUGUUUCUUCUGAGCCAAACACAUCCUUGCAGAGAAAUCCCAAUGGUCCUAAUGCUUUAGGUGACUUCUCUGAGCAAAAUAGUCCCUCCUUAGUUUAUACAUAUCCUGAUUCUGAAUUCUAUAACUUCGAAGAAUGCCGCUCAUGUGAGAAGUUUGAACGUGGACAAAUAUGGGCUUUAUACAGUGAUGUUGACAACUUUCCUAAGUUCUAUGGCUGGGUAAGCAAAGUCGAGCUAGAACCUUUCAAAGUGUAUUUGACCUGGCUUGAAGCUUGUCCCCAAGUGGAGCAGGAGAAACAGUGGUUGGAGCAGGAUAUACCAGUCAGCUGUGGUAAAUUUAAAAUUCGAAGCUGGAAAACCAUGUACGAAACAAACGAUACUUUCUCUCAUUUAGUAUGCACGGGACAUGAUCCAAACCAGCAGAUUGAAAUUGUUCCGCAAGUAGGUGAGAUUUGGGUCAUCUACAUGAACUGGACACCUGACUGGACUCCCUCGAGCCCUCAUGCUUGCGGAUUUGAGAUCGGUGAGAUCAUUGAGCGCACUGAAGCUAGCACAAAAGUUUCUCUUCUUACUCAGGUCAAUGGUUACACAGCGGUGUUCAAGCCUGGCAAGCGAAAGAGAGUUGUGGAGAUACCUACAGGGCACAAUCUGAAGUUCUCUCACCGGGUGCCCUCGUUCUGUCUGACGGAAGAAAAUGGCGGCAAGCUCGGCGGCUUCUAUGAGCUGGAUUCAGCCUCUGUUCCAGAUGUCUUCCUUUACAAGGAUGCCCAAUGA
Molecule: ribosomal RNA, 3105 nt
Filed under: Triticum aestivum (bread wheat)
Lineage: Eukaryota; Viridiplantae; Streptophyta; Magnoliopsida; Poales; Poaceae
Description: partial small subunit ribosomal RNA
Source: RNAcentral